UGAGCUAGAUGGAAUACCCUACAUAAUUUACACCAACUGUCAAAUCCCAAUUGCCGCCGAGAUUAGAGUAUACGUGAGGGGAAGACACAUAAGAUCACACAGCAUGGUGACUCGACCCAAUGGUAGUGCCCAAGAUCACUUAGCCCAAGCUCCUACCUAUAAUCCCAAUUUGGGAAUGACAUAAAGUCAAGUACUCAAGAUCACUUACCCUGGUGCCAAAUAUCCAUGUCGUCAAACACGGUU
Molecule: long non-coding RNA, 243 nt
Filed under: Capsicum annuum
Lineage: Eukaryota; Viridiplantae; Streptophyta; Magnoliopsida; Solanales; Solanaceae
Description: long non-coding RNA (CANN_LNC009272)
Source: RNAcentral